This is a non-coding RNA of Vigna unguiculata (cowpea), 84 nucleotides long. Lineage: Eukaryota; Viridiplantae; Streptophyta; Magnoliopsida; Fabales; Fabaceae. The record is from the annotation of a RefSeq genome assembly.
GUCAGAAUGGCCGAGUGGUCUAAAGCGCCAGACUCAAGUUCUGGUCCUUGAAAGAGGGCGUGGGUUCAAAUCUCACUUUUGACA